RNAcentral lists this ribosomal RNA (253 nucleotides) under uncultured bacterium. Its description in RNAcentral is "partial 16S ribosomal RNA". It matches the Rfam family "Bacterial small subunit ribosomal RNA", at positions 524 to 776 of the family's 1533-position model. The record is from RNAcentral.
UACGUAGGGGGCUAGCGUUGUCCGGAUUUAUUGGGCGUAAAGAGCGUGUAGGCGGCCAGGUAGGUCUGCUGUGAAAACUCGAGGCUCAACCUCGAGACGUCGGCGGAAACCAUCUGGCUAGAGUCCGGAAGAGGAGAGUGGAAUUCCUGGUGUAGCGGUGAAAUGCGCAGAUAUCAGGAAGAACACCCGUGGCGAAGGCAGAUCUCUGGGCCGUAACUGACGCUGAGGAGCGAAAGCAUGGGGAGCGAACAGG